CUGGCUUUUUAGAGGGACUAUCGGCUCAAGCCGAUGGAAGUUUGAGGCAAUAACAGGUCUGUGAUGCCCUUAGAUGUUUUGGGCCGCACGCGCGCUACACUGACAGAGCCAGCGAGUUCAUCACCUUGGCCGAAAGGUCCGGGUAAUCUUGUUAAACUCUGUCGUGCUGGGGAUAGAGCAUUGCAAUUAUUGCUCUUCAACGAGGAAUUCCUAGUAAGCGCAAGUCAUCAGCUCGCGUUGAUUAC
This 245-nucleotide ribosomal RNA is filed under the name Ascomycota sp. RNAcentral describes it as "partial small subunit ribosomal RNA". It matches the Rfam family "Eukaryotic small subunit ribosomal RNA", at positions 1403 to 1648 of the family's 1831-position model. Lineage: Eukaryota; Fungi; Ascomycota. The record is from RNAcentral.